CGUUAAUGUGGGAUCUCUCUUUAAUUUAUUAUCUUGCCUACAUAAAUGUUUAUAUUGCGUAUGCUUGCUAGGGGGACGUUGAUGAGGCGUGGCAAUUUUAUGAAAAACUGCACAACAGUCCAGUAAUAAACACCCGCUAGUUACUAGAUAGUGUUAAUUUAAUUGUAAUUAUAAUAUAAGGUACAAUGGUUCUUGUUUUAGGUUAAGCGAAGAGCAAUGAUAUAACAUAGUUUGUGUAAUAGUGAUAAGAGAUGAAAUUAAGAUGCAAACUAUUGGUUGUGAUUCAGACACAAUUUGUUAAGUUGUUCGUAGAUUUGUCGCAGAAUUGUGGAACCUUACUGACUUCAUGAUAGGAAUCUUUUUAUUUAAUUUUUGUUUUUUUAGAUAUUUUUACGUAUCAUUCUCGUUUGUACAUCGCUAACAAUAAUUGUACAGAGUACUUUUGGACUUAAUUUAAGGCAAUAAAUGUAUUUAUUUUAUAACUCAUGAUGUAAGAAUUUAUUCUUAAUUAUUAUAAAAAAAUAUAUGAUAUGCUUGUA
Long non-coding RNA from Cydia splendana, 539 nucleotides. RefSeq lists it as uncharacterized. Lineage: Eukaryota; Metazoa; Arthropoda; Insecta; Lepidoptera; Tortricidae. The record is from RefSeq and is a predicted model, not a curated record. The transcript has 2 exons.